RNAcentral lists this ribosomal RNA (483 nucleotides) under Triticum aestivum (bread wheat). RNAcentral describes it as "partial small subunit ribosomal RNA". Lineage: Eukaryota; Viridiplantae; Streptophyta; Magnoliopsida; Poales; Poaceae. The record is from RNAcentral.
AUGGGAUCCCUCAUGAGCGGCGCCAUUGCCCUCGUCGCCGAGCGCGCUAACACUCAGGCGUGGGUCAUCGGCUUCGACACCCGCCUCUUCACUGCCGUCUACGCCGGCAUAGUGUGCUCCGGUGUGGCUUACUACGUGCAGGGCAUCGUGUCGAGGCAAAGGGGUCCUGUGUUCGUGACGGCCUUCAACCCACUCUGCAUGAUCGUAACCGCCGUCAUGGGCUCCAUCAUUCUCAAGGAGGAGAUCAAUCUCGGAAGUGUGAUUGGUGCAGCCAUCAUCGUGGGAGGCCUCUACUUUCUCAUCUGGGGCAAGAGCAAGGACGAGAUCAACAAAGUCUCCGACGUCAGCGUCAAGGGCGCCGGCGAGCUGCCCUUAACCUCGGUGACCAACGAUCACGGCCACGGCAAGCAGCACGAGCUCGGCAACAGCAAUGGAAGCCAUGUCUUGGACGUCGAGACGCCUACGACCAAUGGCCACUACUAG